CAGAUUUCUUACAUAAUUCAUCGUGUUCCAGGUUUCACUUUAUUUUGGAAGAUGGAGCAGCGAAGUCUCCUGGAGAAUGAACAACUUCUACUUCUUCUUCUUCUGCAUUGUGAAAGUUGGAUGGAGUUCGGCGGGGCUGUAACCUGAGCUCAGGUAUGAAUAGUAAACAGGUAAAAGCUCACACCUCAUUCAUAUUCAGUGAGGACGAGCGAUUGGUCCCGCCUUUACCUCUUCAUGUAGUGAAGAAGUGAGGACAUCACCACACUUUUAUCCAUUUAUUUCUACAUAUGACUGCAGUCACUACAAUAUUUUCAGAUGUUUCCAUGCCCAGCACCUCAGUGAAUCAGUUUAUGUAACAGAAUCAGUUUGUCCCUGAUGGAUAAGGUGUGUUUUUACAGGAUUUCUGCACACAGCCAUGACAACAGUUUACAAUCUCUGUGUUUUUAUACCAAAUUUAUAACCUGCGUAUGAAUCUGACCUACGUCCUGUUUGUACAUUACUGUAGCUGGGUUUGUACUGAAAAUCAGACUGUAGAAUAUUUCGUGAUCUUUGUGUGUAAAGUUCAUAAAAUUUAGACAGAUAUUACACCACGACAGAACCAGCACCAUCAGGCAGCUUUCACUCCGACCUCAGAGGGUUAAAGAGAGGCUAGGUCACAUCAGUGUUACACAGACUGAAAUAUAAUGUUAUUAUACUGUCUGUUUCAGCAGAAUGUGAAAUAAUACUUAAGAAGGCUUCACAUCAAAGGGUCUUGUAAUUUUUGUGCAGCAUGAAUCCUGUAUUCCACUUCGCUACCACUGGACAGAGCGUACUCCAGCCCUCAUGGCCUUUGGCCAUGGACCUGGAAGACUCCACGGAGGAGUCCAUGGACGUGGAUGACUCCACAGAAGAGCCCAUGGACGUGCAGGUAGGCCAUGGAGAUGAUAUCACACUUAAGUUCAAUUUUCU
Molecule: long non-coding RNA, 948 nt
Organism: Ictalurus punctatus (channel catfish)
Lineage: Eukaryota; Metazoa; Chordata; Actinopteri; Siluriformes; Ictaluridae
Source: Ensembl